RNAcentral lists this ribosomal RNA (433 nucleotides) under uncultured bacterium. Its description in RNAcentral is "partial 16S ribosomal RNA". It matches the Rfam family "Bacterial small subunit ribosomal RNA", at positions 29 to 507 of the family's 1533-position model. The record is from RNAcentral.
AACGAACGCUGGCGGCAUGCCUAACACAUGCAAGUCGAACGAGACCUUCGGGUCUUGUGGCGCACGGGUGCGUAACGCGUGGGAACCUGCCCUUAGGUUCGGACUACCUCCCCGAAAGGGGUGCUAAUACCGGAUAAUGUCUUCGGACCAAAGAUUUAUCGCCUUUGGAUGGGCCCGCGUUGGAUUAGCUAGUUGGUAGGGUAAUAGCCUACCACGGCGACGAUCCAUAGCUGGUCUGAGAGGAUGAUCAGCCACUCUGGGACUGAGACACGGCCCAGACUCCUACGGGAGGCAGCAGUGGGGAAUAUUGGACAAUGGGCGAAAGCCUGAACCAGCAAGGCCGCGUGAGUGAUGAAGGCCGUAGGGUUGUAAAGCGCUUUUAACCGGGAUGAUAAUGACAGUACCGGGAGAAUAAGCUCCGGCUAACUCCGUG